ACAGAUAAGAGAGCAAAAUUUUGUUCUGAUAUAUUUCCAAACAAAUACAUUUCACUGUUAACAUACAUAAACUCACAAUAUUUAUACUGACAAUUCAAUUUUAGUUGACAAAUUAACUAAAUUUAUAACAAGCAUAAGUCUAAAAUGUUUAACUUAAUAAAUAGGUUCUUAAAACUGGUGGAGACCACAUCCAUGAUUGCAAAGGAGUUUGGUGGGUGAAGGAUAUCACGUGAAUAUUGGUUGGUGCAUAGCUAGGCAUUGGUGAAUCGAAUACGGUGUAUAUAUAUUGGUAUAUAAUUUUGUCCUUUUCAAGUAUAUUGUCAAAUUCAAAGUUUGUUUGUAGGGAAAAGUAUUUGGUGGAAGAUGUUAACCAUUUAAAUGAAUCACUUGGGUAAUUGGUUCUCGUAUAUGCAUGGUACUGGACGUGGUAAGCAAAUUAAAACACUUGUUCAAAUAUUGACGUGUUGCCAUAUGCUUUUUGUGGAAUAUUGGAGCAGUCUGUUUGAAUACACACAGUAAACACAUGGAUUUGCACAUGAAAGUUUAACAAAACAUCCGUUAAGAAAUGUAUUACCACAACACUGAAUCAAAAUCCAACCAAUCCCAUACUGUUACAAGAUAGUGAUGGAAAAAUAGGUCAACACAAUAAUAAACUCUAUAAUAAAAUAAUAAGUCAUAAAAAUAAACUCUUCCAAACUUGUAAAAACUUGUGAAAAAUAUCAAUAAAUUAUAUAGUACAAAAUAAAAAUUAAAAAAAUAGAGACAUAAUUUAUAAAAAAUCUCUCAAUGCAUAAGAAAAGACUAUGAAUCGUCUAUCUGAUAUGAUCUCUCACUUAAAUAAGUGAGACAAAAUUAAUCUUUUCAUUUAAACUUUUACUCCACGUACAAAAGGAACCAAAAAACCCAACAUAGAGCACAAGACUUAUUCUCUUUAAUACCCUAUACAAUGAACAAUCCUGGUUCCAUUGGCUAUCUUGGUCUCCUCCUCCUUUUAAGAUUCUCUCCGGAUGCAUUUUUUCCUAGUUUACACAUGACCUGUAAGUUAUACUAGUUUUUGGACUCGUGUGACGCAAUACACGGGUUAGUUAUUUAUAUAUAUUUAUAUAAUUAUUACUACUAUUAUGGAUUAUGCAUGGAUUAAUAUAUGUGAAAAAUGUAAUGUUAUAAAAAGAUGGCCAUCAUAUUUAAUGGACCACACAAUACUAUUACUCGUGAACUACCUACUUCCAAAUUCAUAUGCUAACUCUUGGAUUAAUUACAACCGAAUAUUUCAUGAUAGUUAUGAAGUACACUAACAAAUUCUAACAUAUGCAUGACAGCUAUAUAUCAGUCAAAACAGUUAUUUUAUAUGGCCUAAUAAUUGCAUUUGUGCAUUUAUUUUUCUCCCUUACAAGAUUUAUUUUAUCCGUUGGAUGCAACUUCGUGACGGUUCGUGUAUAUAUACUUUUUUUUCUUUCUAAUUAUGGUAUUGAUAUAUAUGAAAUAGUCCUGUCAAAAGUAAAGAUAAAUUUUUAUUAGAGAUUAUGAAUCAUAUAAAAUAAAUAUUUUUUUCUCAAUAUAAUUUAUUUUAUAUUUAAAAAUUAAUAAAGAUUCAAAUCGUGAAUUAUUUGAUUAAGAAACUCAAAUGAUUAAUAAUUAUAUCAAUAAUUAUUGGUGUAUGUAUACUAUCCCCGCUAGAAAUAAGAAAAUAAUAAUAAAAUCAAAUGUUUUGUGAAUACCAUCUAAAGUCAAAUAGUCAUACAAUUAAAAAUGCCUAAGCCCCACACCUACAAGGAUUCUCUAAAUACAAAAAUAAACUCUAAAUAAAUAAUAUUCCCACUCUGAAUAAUAAGUCUAACCAUAUAUUCUUGACAGAAAAUAGACUCAAAGAUAUUCUAACUUUAAUACUAUACUUUUAAAAUAAUAAUAAAGAAUAUUUUAAAACAUUAUUGCUAUAUAAAUUUAUUAUACAGUGCUACGUAUUAUAAAAAUAAUUUUACAACAACAAAAAUAAAAAAAGUAAAAUUAUAAGGACUUAAGAUAUUUAAGCCUAAUAAUAUCACAUAUAAUUGAUAAUAAAAAUUUAUAAAACAAUGACUAGUCACUUUAAAUAAUUGAAAUGUCAUAAUUUCAAUUUAAUUGUGUUAAAUAUUAAAAAAAAAAUAACUUUAAUUCUAUCCAAUUUAAACAAGAUUACUGGUAUACUACUUCCUUCCCAUGCUACUUGACGUUAUCUUUAAUUUGUAUGUUAAAUAAUUGUUAUCUAGCUACUUGACGUUAUCUUUAAUUUGUAUGUUGAAUAAUUGUUAUCUAGCUCCUUGAUGUUAUCUUUAAUUUGUAUGUUAAAUAAUUGUUAUCUAGCUACUUGAUGUUAUCUUUAAUUUGUAUGUUGAAUAAAUGUUAUCUAGCUCCUUCAUGUUAUCUUUAAUUUGUAUGUUAAAUAAUUGUUAAUUAGAGAAGGAUGUUAUUCAAUUUUAUUGUACAACCACUUCUAUAUAUUAUGAUGUUCUAUAUAUUGUGAUGUACCUGAUUUAUUUCAUAUAACAAAUUAAUGAAACAAAUGCAUUCAAAUUACUUCUCAAUAAAAUAAGGAUAUAUUUGAGAAAAAAUAUAAAUUAAACUUUAAAAUUCUAAAACAUUAAUUAUUUUUAAAAAAUUAAAAGUUAAAACAUAAAAAAAUAUGAGAAGAAAGUAGGAAGAUACUUUCAGUUUAUAGAAAGGAAGAAAAAAUAUAGAUAAAUUCCGAUAAAUUUAGUUCCCAGCACAAUAGCUUUAAACUUUUUUUUUAUUAUCAUGAUGUUUAAUUUUUACCUGAUUAAUUUUUGUUGAAAAAGUUUGUCAUUAUUAAACUUAACUUGAAAUUAAUGAAAGUUAGCCGUCUAGGUUGACAUAAAACAAAUAAAAGCUAGCCGUCCAAAUUGAACAUUGAAAACUCAGCAAGAUGAGUAUUCAAAGACACUAGAUAAAUCACAUUUAUGACGGGUGUAUUAAUUUAUUUUCCUUAACUUCUCAUGUUAAUUAAAAAUUCAAUACAAAUUUGUCAAUAUUUUCACUCUUUUUCUGACAUAGUUAAUUCACACCUCCUCUUAAUUAAGGUUUUUUUGUUUCAAUUGAAUAACGAGGGAAUAUAAUGAUUCAUGAUAAAAAGAAAAUAGCAAUUUAUAAUCUUCUCUCUAUUUGGAGUUUUUCAAAAGAAGGAAUUAACCAUUGCAUUUUGAUGAGUGACGCCUAAAAACUCAAUCGGUCUAAAUUGGAAGGAAAAUUAUAGAGAAAAGGUUUAAGAAAGUAUAAAUAUACAAACUUUUUUUUUCUAUUUAAGGUUUUAUAUCAUUUUAUACAUAUUUUUUUUCUUUUCAUUUUUUUAUGCAACCAAACAACUUAAAAUUCAUAUCACUCUCAUUUUCUUUCUUUCUUGUCCUUUUCAAUUAAGUAUAUCAUUAGAGUUUCUCACCACCUUCGGCUAUCAAGGAUGGAGAUCACCUGUCUCAUUCAGUGUGUCUUGAUUCUUAUCUCUUUAAUUAUAAAUUGUUGUGCCAAUUAAAAGUAUAACAUAAAUAUCUCAUUCUUCUUUGACUUGCCUCCUCUUAUAUAUAACCCAUAACCAGCAUUAAUGGACAUUGACGGUCUAAGUAGUUUAAAAUAACUAUACAUUUAUUAAGUAGUUAUAAUCCUGAUCAAUUUUUAUGUGAUAUCUAUUUCUUUUAUUUUUAUUUAUAGAAUAUAGUUGAUUAUAUUAUGCUUAUUAAAAAUUUAGUUAAUUUAAGUGUUAAUAUUAAAUUUGUCUUUAACUGAAAUAUUAUUUAAAAUUUUCCCAUAACAUUAAUAGGAGUCUAUUUAUCUUCUUUAAUCUUCAUAAGAAAGAAACUAGUAAUUCAAAGUAGUAUUUAAUUAUAGACUAAAAUAAAUAAAAGUAUUUUAGUAAAAAAAAUAAUUAAUGAGCAAAAGAGAUGAAAUGAAAUUUUAUAAUAAGAAUAAAAAAAUUAUUGAUUAUGUCUUGUAAAUAAGUAUGGAUGAAGUAUUUAAAUUUUUUAAUAAUUAAUAACUUCAGACUGCCUAUUAAUUUUCUCAUUAAUUUCAGGUCACAAGUUUGUCUAAGCAAAAUAAAGGGUACAGUCAAAUAAGUGACUAAUUCCUGGCAUAGACUCUUGAAGUUGAAUGACCUUUCUAAGUGACUAAUUGGUAGCCUCUUCAAUUCUCCCAUGCAUGUGUGGAUUCAAUUAAUAGUGUCCCUUUCAAGACUAUAGUUAAAUAUUUUUCGCUAAAUAAAGGGCAAUUUGUUUUUAUACGCAAGCAAUCACGUGAAACUGCCUGGGGCAUUUGAUUAUUUCAACAUAAAAAUUGUAAACUAAGAAUGAGGAUAAAAUUACGAUAUUAUAAUGUAUACUGUAUUGAUUUAUUAUAUUAUUAUUAAAUAAUUUUAAUUAAAUUAAUACUAUAUUUAGAAAAUAUCAUAGAAAUUAUAUUUAUAAAAUUAUAUAUUAAUUUAAUUUUUUUUAUACUUUAGUAAUAAACAUCAAAAGUAGCUAUAUAAUAUAUUUUAAUUUUUAUAUAUUUAAAUAUAAUGUAACAUAAAGUAUUAAACCAAUGAAUAUAUUUAUAAUCUGAUAACAAGAUUAAUUAAAAUAAAUUUUAUAUAAAAUUCUAAUGAUGAUAGUUUAGUGUAAGUUGUAAUUUGUUGUUUCUUUGUCAAAUUAAAUGACGCACGGCAGCUAUGAAUAUUUUCGAAUUCGACACAACACCUGUCUAUUUAUUGUUUUAACUUUUGAGACAGUAGGCCUUUGAUUUUAGUUUAAUUCCUUUUUUACAAAGAUUUUUUUUUAUCUUUUAAGAAUAUGAAGUUGAGAAUAUAUUAUUUUAUAUUUGAUAUACAAUUUAAAUAUAAGUUAGGAAAUAUUUUUUCUAAAAGAAAUCUUUGAAUAUUUUGUCUUUUUCAUAAAAUUGUUCAUAUGAAAGAAAGAAAAGGUAGGAAUUGGACUUUUCUGAAUUGGAAGAAAAAUUUUGAUGAUGUAAAAAGAUUAAAAUAUUCCUAUUAACUCAUUCAAUACUGUUAUAAAAAUUUCUGAAAAAAAUUCUUAUUAAGUGUGAUAGAUAAUCAUGUCAUAAAAAUAAAUUCUAAUAAAUAAUUUACUAUGAAUGUUAUAGUUUUAAAAUAAAAUUAUUGUAAAAUCUAUAGCUUUGAAUAUAUUAAAUAUUAUAAUUUCUAUUUAUUUUUAUAUAUUAAUAUUUUGAAAAUUUUCAAGGCUUUAAUUUAUAAAUUCUUUAAAAAUAUUGUUGUCGCAGCAUAUAUUCAAGAAAUGUUUAAGUGGAAACUACAGAAAACAUCCAAAGUACAAAAAAUGAAAAAUUCCAAAAUGCUAAACUUAUACAAAAUAUAUUAAUUUUACAGAUUUAUCAUUUUUUACAGCAACAUAUUUAUAUUCUAAAAUUUUAUUAAAAAAGUAUUUUUUAAUAAAACUUAUCUAAACCUAUAGUUUCAUUAAAUUUAACUUAAAUUACGUAAAUAUUAUAAUAAAUUAUUUAUAAAUAUUAUUAUAUAGCAUAUUAUUCACAUUCCACACACACCGUACUCUCUCUCCCUCUCUGAAUUAGCCAUGCAUUGUCAAUUCUAUAUAUAAACUCAUAAUCUUUUUUAUAUUAUUAUUUAUCAAUUUUAUUAAUGAUUAAUCUUUAUAAGAAAAUAUAACCGAGAUAUCUUUAAUGAGAUUUUUUCUUUUAAUUACAUUUUUUUUAUUUACAAAAUUUCAACUUAAGAUCAUAUUUAAAAAUAUCAAGUUCAAGAUCACUCAAACCAAAACCUUUAUAUAUAAACUCAUUGAUUAGUAACUAUAAAAAAAUCAACAUGUGAAUACUUAUCAAAAUUGAGUUAGGAUAAUAAGAUUUUAUACGAGGUAUAAAAGAAAAUCCAAUAAGUAUAAUGUGUGGUUUAGUUUGAUUAAUUUUUUACUUUAGGAACUGAAAACUAAUUUUCCAUAAAAAUGUGGUUACUUUUUAUUUUGCAACUUUAUCAAUUUUAAAUUUUUACCUGUUUGAAAAUUCAAAAUGAAUUGGUUUAAUUUUAAACACCUCUAUCCCCAACCUUACGCCAUGUAAGUUGAGAGGAAAUGAUCAGAUAAGAUAGUUAAAUUAAUAAAAAGGCCGCAUCAUAAAAAUAUUAAAUAAAAAUAUAAGCUAAGAUGAUUAACGUGACCUAAAAAUAAUAAUUAAUCAGAAUAUAUUAAUAACAAAUUUAUUUAUAGUUAUUUACUUUUUAAUUGUUAUAUAGGAUACAACUGUUAAUUUAAUUGAUAUAAAGGAUAAAAAUUGAAUCUUAUAUAAAAUUAUUAAUGAAAUAGUACUUUAUUUUAUGAUAUAAUUUGAUGUUUCUUUAUACCAAAUGACAUACGACAUGAAUGAGUUUCCAUAGGAUAGCUGUUUAUCUUCAACGUUAAUUUAUGAAAAAAAGGGCAAAUGAAUAAAAUAAAAAAUCUUCAACGUUAAUUUUUAACUUUUGAGCAGCACGAGUGUUUGACUUUGAAUUUGGAGUAGGAAUCUACGAGAUAAGCAUGAGUAGUUGAGUACUAACUUUUCGCCACCCAUCAGAAAACUUUGUUUGCUUACGAGUAUUAGUUAAGUGUGUAUUUAUAGAUUUUAUGUCUAUUUAUAUGUAUUAAUAGAAGAAGGGAAAAUAAGUAUUAAUAGAUUAUUUUUUUAAAGAAAAUGAAUCAAAUUAAAAAAAUAUUAUUUUUAAUAUACAUUUAAAUAAAUAUAUAUAUAUAUAUAUAUAUAUAUAUAUAUAUAUAUAUAUAUAUAUAUGUAUGUAUUAAUAGAUGAAGGGAAAAAACAAGUAUUAAUAGAUUAUUUUUUUAAAGAAAAUGAAUCAAAUUUUAAAAAAUAUUAUUUUUAAUAUACAUUUAAAUAAAUAAAUAAUCAGUACGGAGAGGUGCAAAUUUUAUGGCUAAAAUGUAAAAUGGGAACUACGUUACGUACCUCUUAGGCUUCCAUGCAAGUGCUAAACUCGCACUAUAUCAGCAGCUUAUUGACGUGCUUAAAGCGGAAGCGAUUUAUGGGAAAUCUCCUUUGUUUUUUCGUUUAUUUUCUGUCUUUUGCUUGUUUCACAAAAAAAAAAGAAAAUACUAAAAAUAAUAGAUAAUUUAAAGAUAUAUAUGUGUGUGUGUGUUAAAAAUACAUUAGAAUAACUUAUUUUAUAUACAAUUAAGAAUAUUUAACUAAUUUAAAAUUACUUGCCUUUCCAAGGGUGGAUUGAUUUUCAGGAGUUUGGAGGGGAGAAUCAGUUAAAAAGAUGUGAUACUAUCUUGAAUGCGUU
Molecule: long non-coding RNA, 7282 nt
Filed under: Glycine max (soybean)
Lineage: Eukaryota; Viridiplantae; Streptophyta; Magnoliopsida; Fabales; Fabaceae
Description: long non-coding RNA (GMAX_LNC001925)
Source: RNAcentral